Molecule: ribosomal RNA, 433 nt
Filed under: uncultured Methanoculleus sp.
Lineage: Archaea; Methanobacteriati; Methanobacteriota; Methanomicrobia; Methanomicrobiales; Methanomicrobiaceae
Description: bacterial SSU rRNA
Rfam family: Archaeal small subunit ribosomal RNA
Source: RNAcentral
UUGGACUCAACGCCGGGAAGCUUACCGGAUAAGACAGCGGAAUGAUUGCCGGGCUGAAGACUCUGCAUGACCAGCUGAGAGGAGGUGCAUGGCCGUCGUCAGUUCGUACUGUGAAGCAUCCUGUUAAGUCAGGCAACGAGCGAGACCCACGCCAACAGUUGCCAGCAUGGUCUCCGGACUGAUGGGGACACUGUUGGGACCGCCUCUGCUAAAGAGGAGGAAGGAAUGGGCAACGGUAGGUCAGCAUGCCCCGAGUUAUCCGGGCUACACGCGGGCUACAAUGGGCAGGACAAUGGGUAUCGACACCGAAAGGUGAAGGCAAUCUCCUAAACCUGUCCUUAGUUCGGAUUGUGGGCUGCAACUCGCCCACAUGAAGCUGGAAUCCGUAGUAAUCGCGUUUCAAAAUAACGCGGUGAAUGUGUCCCUGCUCCUU